AUCCCUUUUUGGCCUUUUGGCUAAAAUCAAGUGUAGUAUCUGUUCUUAUCAGUUUAAUAUCUGAUAUGUUCUCUAACUGAGGACAAUAUAUUAAAUGGAUUUUUGGAGCAGGGAAAUGGAAUAGGAGCUUGCUCCAUCCACUCCACACAUUGACCUGGUAUCGAAAUACCUUCAGGAAGAGUGCACUCUCC
Molecule: small nuclear RNA, 191 nt
Organism: Urocitellus parryii (Arctic ground squirrel)
Lineage: Eukaryota; Metazoa; Chordata; Mammalia; Rodentia; Sciuridae
Gene: U2
Rfam family: U2 spliceosomal RNA
About the family: U2 is a small nuclear RNA (snRNA) component of the spliceosome (involved in pre-mRNA splicing). Complementary binding between U2 snRNA (in an area lying towards the 5' end but 3' to hairpin I) and the branchpoint sequence (BPS) of the intron results the bulging out of an unpaired adenosine, on the BPS, which initiates a nucleophilic attack at the intronic 5' splice site, thus starting the first of two transesterification reactions that mediate splicing.
Source: Ensembl